This 460-nucleotide ribosomal RNA is filed under the name uncultured bacterium. RNAcentral's name for it is "partial 16S ribosomal RNA". It matches the Rfam family "Bacterial small subunit ribosomal RNA", at positions 338 to 795 of the family's 1533-position model. The record is from RNAcentral.
CCUACGAGCGGCAGCAGUGAGGAAUAUUGGUCAAUGGGCGCGAGCCUGAACCAGCCAAGUAGCGUGAAGGAUGACUGCCCUACGGGUUGUAAACUUCUUUUAUAAAGGAAUAAAGUGAGGCACGUGUGCCUUUUUGUAUGUACUUUAUGAAUAAGGAUCGGCUAACUCCGUGCCAGCAGCCGCGGUAAUACGGAGGAUCCGAGCGUUAUCCGGAUUUAUUGGGUUUAAAGGGAGCGUAGAUGGGUUGGUAAGUCCGUUGUGAAAGUUUGCGGCUCAACCGUAAAAUUGCAAUUGAUACUGGAAGUCUUGAGUACAGUUGAGGUAGGCGGAAUGCGUGGUGUAGCGGUGAAAUGCUUAGAUAUCACGAAGAACUCCGAUUGCGAAGGCAGCUUACUAACCUGCCACUGACAUUGAUGCACGAAAGUGUGGGUAUCGAACAGGAUUAGAUACCCUUGUAGUC